Long non-coding RNA from Anarrhichthys ocellatus (wolf-eel), 313 nucleotides. RefSeq lists it as uncharacterized. NCBI's taxonomy places the organism in Eukaryota, Metazoa, Chordata, Actinopteri, Perciformes, Anarhichadidae. The transcript has 3 exons. The record is from RefSeq and is a predicted model, not a curated record.
UAGGGAAUGCUUUCUGUCAAUGAGGGUCUUCACAAAGAUAGAAGUGCAGGGAUGUGUGUGUCUGAAAUAAUUCUGAAAAAUUUAAAAACAUCACCUCCUUCCUGUUUUCAGGCGAUGACGAGCUGUCCAGCCCCUCCCAAGAUGCAUCUGGGUUGGAGGAAGUGAUGGAACAGCUCAAUAAUUCUUUUCCUCAUAGCCAGGCAGGGAGAAGGGGACGCCCAUGACAGGUCCCCGUAUUGGCCGUUUGUUCCACAUGGCCGAUGAUCUGGGCCGUGCCAUGGAGUCACUGGUCAGCGUGAUGACAGACGAGCAG